Molecule: ribosomal RNA, 433 nt
Filed under: uncultured bacterium
Lineage: Bacteria
Description: partial 16S ribosomal RNA
Rfam family: Bacterial small subunit ribosomal RNA
Source: RNAcentral
AGCGAACGCUGGCGGCAGGCUUAACACAUGCAAGUCGAGCGGGCACUUCGGUGUCAGCGGCAGACGGGUGAGUAACACGUGGGAACGUACCCUUUGGUUCGGAAUAACGCUGGGAAACUAGCGCUAAUACCGGAUACGCCCUUUUGGGGAGAGGCUUGCUGCCGAAGGAUCGGCCCGCGUCUGAUUAGCUAGUUGGUGGGGUAAUGGCCUACCAAGGCGACGAUCAGUAGCUGGUCUGAGAGGAUGAUCAGCCACACUGGGACUGAGACACGGCCCAGACUCCUACGGGAGGCAGCAGUGGGGAAUAUUGGACAAUGGGCGCAAGCCUGAUCCAGCCAUGCCGCGUGAGUGAUGAAGGCCUUAGGGUUGUAAAGCUCUUUUGUCCGGGACGAUAAUGACGGUACCGGAAGAAUAAGCCCCGGCUAACUUCGUG